AAUAAGGUGUCAUUUGCUAGUUGGUCCGGGUUGGGUCCGCCGAGGGCUGACCUGGCUUUCGGCCGAACAAGGUUAAGGGUGUGUUCAUUCUUUUUAAUAUUGUUUGAACCGAUUCUUUUCCUUUUAGUUCAUUACUAGCAAAAGGGCCCAUGUGUUGUAACGAAAGAAAAAUAAUUAAAAUCUUUAAUGGUGCUAAUCAUAUUAUGUUUUUAAAUUUUUAAGACAUUUCUUGAAAUGCAUGAACAUUUUUGAAUUAGCA
This 259-nucleotide long non-coding RNA is filed under the name Hordeum vulgare. Its description in RNAcentral is "long non-coding RNA (HVUL_LNC013489)". The record is from RNAcentral. Lineage: Eukaryota; Viridiplantae; Streptophyta; Magnoliopsida; Poales; Poaceae.